This 415-nucleotide ribosomal RNA is filed under the name uncultured bacterium. Its description in RNAcentral is "bacterial SSU rRNA". It matches the Rfam family "Bacterial small subunit ribosomal RNA", at positions 355 to 787 of the family's 1533-position model. The record is from RNAcentral.
UCGGGAAUAUUGCGCAAUGGAGGAAACUCUGACGCAGUGACGCCGCGUGCAGGAAGAAGGUUUUCGGAUUGUAAACUGCUUUAGACAGGGAAGAAAAAAGACAGUACCUGUAGAAUAAGCUCCGGCUAACUACGUGCCAGCAGCCGCGGUAAUACGUAGGGAGCAAGCGUUAUCCGGAUUUAUUGGGUGUAAAGGGUGCGUAGACGGGAAAACAAGUUAGUUGUGAAAUCCCUCGGCUUAACUGAGGAACUGCAACUAAAACUAUUUUUCUUGAGUGCUGGAGAGGAAAGUGGAAUUCCUAGUGUAGCGGUGAAAUGCGUAGAUAUUAGGAGGAACACCAGUGGCGAAGGCGACUUUCUGGACAGUAACUGACGUUGAGGCACGAAAGUGUGGGGAGCAAACAGGAUUAAUACCC